RNAcentral lists this ribosomal RNA (267 nucleotides) under uncultured archaeon. Its description in RNAcentral is "partial 16S ribosomal RNA". It matches the Rfam family "Archaeal small subunit ribosomal RNA", at positions 717 to 982 of the family's 1478-position model. The record is from RNAcentral.
AGUCACUGACAUUAGAUACCCGUGUAGUCCAGGGUGUAAACGCUGCAGACUUGGUGUUGGAAGUCCUUUGGGGGCAUUCAGUGCCGGAGAGAAGUUGUUAAGUCUGCUACUUGGGGAGUACGUCCGCAAGGAUAGAAAACUUAAAGGAAUUGGCGGGGGAGCACCGCAACGGGAGGAGCGUGCGGUUUAAUUGGAUUCAACACCGUAAAACUCACCAGGGAAGACUGUUACAUGAAAGCCGAGAUGAAGACUCUGCUAGAUUUUCAG